Molecule: ribosomal RNA, 889 nt
Filed under: Trichomonas vaginalis G3
Lineage: Eukaryota; Parabasalia; Trichomonadida; Trichomonadidae
Description: 16S ribosomal RNA
Rfam family: Eukaryotic small subunit ribosomal RNA
Source: RNAcentral
AGCCAUCGGGGGUAGAUCUAUCUCAUGACGAGUGGUGGAAUACUUUGACUCAUGAGAGAGAAGCUGAGGCGAAGGCGUCUACCUAGAGGGUUUCUGUCGAUCAAGGGCGAGAGUAGGAGUAUCCAACAGGAUUAGAGACCCUGGUAGUUCCUACCUUAAACGAUGCCGACAGGAGUUUGUCAUUUGUUAAUGGCAGAAUCUUUGGAGAAAUCAUAGUUCUUGGGCUCUGGGGGAACUACGACCGCAAGGCUGAAACUUGAAGGAAUUGACGGAAGGGCACACCAGGGGUGGAGCCUGUGGCUUAAUUUGAAUCAACACGGGGAAACUUACCAGGACCAGAUGUUUUUUAUGACUGACAGGCUUCGGGUCUUUCAGGAUAUUGUUUUUGGUGGUGCAUGGCCGUUGGUGGUGCGUGGGUUGACCUGUCUAGCGUUGAUUCAGCUAACGAGCGAGAUUAUCGCCAAUUAUUUACUUUGCCGAAGUCCUUCGGUUAAAGUUCUAAUUGGGACUCCCUGCGAUUUUAGCAGGUGGAAGAGGGUAGCAAUAACAGGUCCGUGAUGCCCUUUAGAUGCUCUGGGCUGCACGCGUGCUACAAUGUUAGGAUCAAUAGGACUGCGAGCCUGAGAGGGUGCGCUACUCUUAUAAUCCCUAACGUAGUUGGGAUUGACGUUUGUAAUCAGCGUCAUGAACCAGGAAUCCCUUGUAAAUGUGUGUCAACAACGCACGUUGAAUACGUCCCUGCCCUUUGUACACACCGCCCGUCGCUCCUACCGAUUGGAUGACUCGGUGAAAUCACCGGAUGCUUACGAGCAGAAAGUGAUUAAAUCACGUUAUCUAGAGGAAGGAGAAGUCGUAACAAGGUAACGGUAGGUGAACCUGCCGUUGGAUC